GUGAUAUUCAGCCUGUCUGCACAAGGAAAUCCUGUUCAUAAUUCUGUCUUUGUGAAGACCUUCCUCCAGACUCACACUCAUCCCAGGCAGAGAUGUCACUCCACAAUGAACUCUAUAUCACCUCCACCACUGCUUGAAGGAAGUGAGAAGCAAGAUUAACUACAUUGGAAUCCUGGCUGCAGCUGUGCUGAAUCCUCGUACCAUGUCUGCUUGAGUCAGCAUUGCCUCCAGUGCACGUCUCCCAGUCACGCACCAACAACCCCUGACUGAAACGACUGCCAUCUCCAUUAGUUCAAGAUACACACAGGCACACAGAACAAGUCUAAUGCUUUAAGGUC
Long non-coding RNA from Etheostoma spectabile (orangethroat darter), 338 nucleotides. RefSeq lists it as uncharacterized. The record is from RefSeq and is a predicted model, not a curated record. The transcript is spliced from 3 exons. Lineage: Eukaryota; Metazoa; Chordata; Actinopteri; Perciformes; Percidae.